AGCUUCUGUCAAGGUUCAGCAAGCCUUCAGUUAUAUCAGCUCCAGUCUGGGUGUGGCUGAGGUGGCUUUGGAUCCUGUGAGUGGAAUGCCUACAAGGGGAUGGACAAAUAGACUGGCCUAUAAAAAUUAUAAUGGUGAAAAUUUCACUGAAGAAUUCAGCCCACAUCACCAUGUUUACAAACAGAGAUGCCCUGGACUGGGGACUGGGUGACCAAACAUUUGUCCCCAGAGAAUUUUUUUUUUCUUUUUUUUUUUUUUUUU
Dama dama (fallow deer) is the source of this 261-nucleotide long non-coding RNA. RefSeq lists it as uncharacterized. Lineage: Eukaryota; Metazoa; Chordata; Mammalia; Artiodactyla; Cervidae. The record is from RefSeq and is a predicted model, not a curated record. The transcript has 2 exons.